Molecule: ribosomal RNA, 497 nt
Filed under: uncultured bacterium
Lineage: Bacteria
Description: partial 16S ribosomal RNA
Rfam family: Bacterial small subunit ribosomal RNA
Source: RNAcentral
GAUGAACGCUGGCGGCGUGCCUAAUACAUGCAAGUCGAGCGAACAGACGAUGAUCUUGCUCCUCUCACGUUUGCGGCGGACGGGUGUGUCACAUGUGUAUAACCUACCUAUAAUACUGGGAUAACUUCGGGAAACCGGAUCUAAUACCGGAUAAUAUAUUGAACCGCAUGGUUCAAUAGUGAAAUACGGUUUUGCUGUCACUUAUAGAUGGAUCCGCGCCGCAUUAGCUAGUUGGUAAGGUAACGGCUUACCAAGGCAACGAGGCGUAGCCGAACGGAGAGACUGAUCGCCCACCCUGGAAGUGAGACAGCGACAAGGCUACUACGGGAGGGAGCAGACGGGAAUGUUAGGCAGUGGGGGAAAGCUUGACAGAACGAGGCGGCGUGAGUGAUGAAAGUGUCCGGAUCGUAAAGCUCGGUUAUUAGGGAAGAACAACUGUGGCCGUAGAUAUGCAGGGCUUGACGGUAACGAGUAAAAAAGCAACGGCUAACUACGUG